UAACCGUACUGGCAAUAUUUGAUCCUUAGA
This 30-nucleotide non-coding RNA is filed under the name Rattus norvegicus (Norway rat). The record is from RNAcentral. Lineage: Eukaryota; Metazoa; Chordata; Mammalia; Rodentia; Muridae.